This 253-nucleotide ribosomal RNA is filed under the name uncultured bacterium. RNAcentral describes it as "partial 16S ribosomal RNA". It matches the Rfam family "Bacterial small subunit ribosomal RNA", at positions 524 to 776 of the family's 1533-position model. The record is from RNAcentral.
UACAGAGGGUGCGAACGUUGUUCGGAAUCACUGGGCAUAAAGCGCUCGUAGGCGGCACCGCAAGUGUGGGGUGAAAUCCCACGGCUUACCCGUGGAACUGCCUGGCAGACUGCGGUGCUAGAGGAUGGUAGGGGAGAGCGGAACUCUUGGUGGAGCGGUGAAAUGCGUAGAUAUCAAGAGGAACACCAGUGGCGAAGGCGGCUCUCUGGUCCAAACCUGACGCUGAGGAGCGAAAGCUAGGGGAGCAAACGGG